This is a long non-coding RNA of Alligator mississippiensis (American alligator), 4809 nucleotides long. RefSeq lists it as uncharacterized. Lineage: Eukaryota; Metazoa; Chordata; Crocodylia; Alligatoridae. The transcript is spliced from 5 exons. The record is from RefSeq and is a predicted model, not a curated record.
AUAUGCUGGAAUCCUGAGCCUGGGAGCGAGCUCUGGCUUCCUGCUGCGAGGACCAGCAGAAGCUACAUGCAUUACUGUGGUAAUGCACAGCCCCGGGGGAACAGGAAAAGGAGAGAAGGGUGCGUCAGGGGAAAGGGCAGUUUGUAGUUCUCCCCAGAGCCCCAAACAGUUGCUAAAGAGCUGCGUCCACAUGAACUUCAGGUAAAAACAGUCUCUUUACUGUCCCUGCUUGGAACGGAGCAGGACAGGCUGAAGGAGGAGUUAUGGAAGAAGCAAAAACAGAAAAUCCCUAUCAACCAGAAAACCCCCUGAUUUGUGCGUCCUUUGGAUGAAUCAGCCAGUAUUACAUAUCGACAAGCACCGGUUUAACAAUAAAGUUGGAUCUAGGGAGAAGAGGCUGGAAGGUUUUCAGAAAGCCCUAACUUGGGCUAUGUGUUUGUGAGGUGUGAGUACAUCUUCUUUCUUAUACAAAAAGAAAUACUCACCUGCAUACUCAAAACCCCACAUUAACAAAUCAGGAGCUUAAUCCCCGUCCUGCUGAAGUCAACAGAAAAUCUCCCACUGACUUGAGCAGCGCAGGAUUGGGCUUACAGCUGAAAUCCUACUGCUUUUUCAAGGCAAAGUAUUUGGUGAAAACUUAUGUCACAUGAGCUGUUGGUUUGAGGACUCUAGUGGAUUCUCAUUUCAUAUCUGACUAUGAGGAAUGGAUGACUUCAAUGGCAGGAUCUUUGAAGAAACAAGGAUAUGUCAAGUGUGGAUUAGGACCAAUCCUAUGAGAAACUGAAUAAUUUAGGCUCCUUUGAACUCCUACUAAUUUCACUGGGAGCUUACAGUCCUCUGCACCUUUUAGGAUGGAUUCUGUCUUGGAGACUGAGAUUGGUGCUAAGAUAUUAAGAGGAAACAGCAACACUGGAAGUGUUUACAAGUAAAGAAUACUGAAACAAUGGACAUUAUACAUAUUGUGAAUGUCAUAUCCUAUACUGCAGUGUGACGCUGAUGGUGACGCCACCACAAUGAUGUGAGGCACCAGGGGAUAUCUAAAGAUUGCAAUGGUCAGAAUAUCCUUUUUGCCGUGGCACGCUCAGUUGCACUAGCCCCCGUGUUGGGAUGGGGCGGGUAACAAAUAGAGAUUCCAGCUACUGCAAUACAAGCUCUGCUUCUUGCAAUAUCCUAUCUUCUCCUUGGACAUUUCACACCCAAAUACAGUAUAGAGUGCUUCCUGCUUGAUGUAGGGAGGUGGGCUGAGAUGUUUUUCUGGAUGUCCUACCAUUUCUGACUUUUGGACUCUAUUCACUAGUUUUAAGAACUGGAAACACCUUUGGUUGGCUAAAGUUACAGCAAAUGAAUAUUUUUUUAGAUGCAAACAUUUUUGGGGUGCUAUCUUUUAUUGGACCAACUGCUCAGGAGAGAUUUAGGCAAGCUUUGGAGUAAAAGGCACCUUUACAUAGUCUCCUUCACAGUGGUGUUUCCAACUCUGUUUUACAAAAGGGGAUACACAAGCUAGAGAAUGAUAGUGGGAGCAGUCACCUGCCAUCCAGUCCUAUUCCUUAACCACAAGAUCAUCUCUGUAGGUUCCUUGGGCCAGAUCCUCAGCUAACACUAUGCCAGUUUACAGAUGAGACACUAGCCCUUUGUGUUUUAAUAAGAAUAUUUUCCUGAUCAGUGUAGUCUUUCUUCUGUUGGAAUCUGUUGUGGAGUAUUUCCAGCCUGUAGCUGUGGAAAUGAACUCGAUGCCACAAAUUUAGUAUGAUGCUUCACUUCAGGAACAAGCAAAAGAGAAAGAGCUGGCAGGGAAAGAACACUUGCUCACACAAAUAGCUUUGGUGUUUAGCCAAAAUGGCAAGAAAUACUAUGAAAGACAAGACAUUACAAACAAUGUUAUGAAUGUGAUGUAUUCUAAAGUUUUCUGCAGUAGGAAAAUGCUACUGUAACAACAGAUACUUUCCCAGAAGACUUGUUGCAUGCUAAUGGGUAGUCUACCUAGCAGUUGCGCCUUAACAGGGAAAACGAUCUGCUGCCGAUCCGCAUUCCAGUCUGUUCUAAUCUAAUGUGCUGAUGACCCUCCUGUACACAUCGGACAGAGAAGUAUAGGUACCUAGUGUGUACAGCAACAGUGCCUUGAUGGGUGACUGAUACUAAAAGUAUAAAUCCAAUAUACACCUCCAGUCAGAGGUACAACCAACUAUACUAGAACACAGCACAAAUACAAUGUAGAGUACACUGCAUACCAGAGAUUCCCUCCAGCUGUGUCUCUUCCAGCACAUCGCACAUGCUGACAAAUUAAGUUAUCACCGUCAUCAUGGACUGGGAAAAUAGAGCCCAGAAACUUGAAGUACCUUACCCCAAGGACACUCAACAAAUGUAUGACAGAGUAAGAAAGAGAAAUAAAAGCUCCUGAUUGUGAGGCUGGUGCUUUAACCACAAGAUCAUUCUUUUCUUGUGUCCAUGCAAUUACUGUUUAACAUGAAAGUUUCUUUAUAUAGAGAUAUGCUGAGUGGAUGCUUUUGCCCUGCAAGGGAAAAGGAAAAGCUCUACAUGUGAAGUUGUGAAGCAUCAGAAAGUUUAGCUAAGGGAGAUGUGCCUCUAAAACCAAACCCCACCUUCAAAUAGGAAAGCAAAUCUUGUGUUGUAAUAACAGGUUCAGAUACUAGCGAUCUGGGUCUUUUGUGCUAAGUACUCCCAGGUGGCAGAGUCCAAUCAGUAUGCAACAGAAGCAGGGUUUUCUCAGGGCCACAGGGGGCCAACUCCAGGAACCGUCACGCUUGGAAAAGCAACUUAGGGCCACUAAAACCAAACCUCUUAGACAGGGAGAGAUGGGACAUGAACUCAGGGUCAGUGUGUAACACGAAGGUGGGUUUUCUACUCUGACUCCUCUUUUGGAGGAAAAGCAUAGCCUUAAAAAUCAUAGAUACCAUCCCCACAGUGUUGUUUCCUCACUGAUGGAGGUGCUGGAUUUGCAGGAGAGGUCAGAUCUCCUCCUGGAAAUUCUGAGGCCAACCCUGUACCCUGGAUCAUUGUGCAGUAGCACCUGCGUGCACCUCUCUAGGGUCUUCUGUCUUGGGAGAUCCUGUUUUCCACAGAAUUUUAAUGUCCUAGUUGGAGAGUUUUACUCUUGGGCUCAGAAGCAUUAACUACCAUGUUAUGAUGAUCCUCCUUUCCAGGAGGGCAUGAUGUAUUGAGCAGCUGCUCCUGGUUUCUGCACCCUUCUGGAGUGCCAUAUUCCAAUUCCUGGUAGUGCUUCAAAUGCAUUUUGUUUCUGUGGAGGGUUUUAUACUAGAUCAAGGAAGAGAAAGAGCACAAAACAAAUGUUAAUCCCUCUUCACUCCAUUUCCUUGGGGAUUUUUUUUGCUUCCGUACACAGAGAGUCUGGCUGAAAGCUAACAGCACUCCUCUGUGACGCGGUCGGUUCUGUUCAGUAAGUUUCUUUCCAUAACUGUAAAUGCUAUGGAGGGCAGGCAGCUCUGAAAAGGGAUACCCCUGCUGAUGCACUGGUGCACUGAAAAUGCAUAACCAGGGAAAAUGCUUGCUCAUUUGCUUUUGUCAGCCUCUGGUGACUCCAAACUGCCUAUUUCCACUCCAAAAUUUAGUAAAAAAUAAAAUAAAAAACCCAAACAGCAGCAAAUAGUUAUCUCAGCAGGGUCCAUGGAGCCUAUUCUAUUUACCAUAUUUAUUCUAAGCUCAAGACUGCUUAAGGACACUAUGAUACAGAUAUACCUGGAUAGUUUUUGCACUUAUUAAAGACCCAUUUAGCAGUGAAACCCUCAGUAUAAUGAUUGCAAAGAACAGAAGCAGCAAGAAGUGAGAAGCUGACCCUGGCCUGGGAUGAUGGGUAUAUUCUGGUCUGGGCAAGCAAACUCUGCAAAUUAUCAACUAAAGAGGGAUACUUCAGUCUAUAGGACCAUUCUAAAUUGUCAGAAUAUUUUUUGGAAGAUUUGUCCAGUGAGUGAAAUGCCUGCAGAGAGGUGAGGGGAAGGCAGGGGACUGGAGGGAUAUAUGCCUAAUGUCUGUGGGCGACAUCCUCUAUGCUCAUAGUCUAUUGUAAGCACUGAACAUGAUGGGCUGGUUCUGAUGUGAAUGCUGCCCUGCAGAUCUCUCGCUGUUCUUAAAAUCGGUGCUACCUCCUGAAAAAAUCCUGUUGGCUUAUUUUGCCUUCCCCUGGCUCAGGUAUGAAUCUAAUUUUUCUUUGAAAAUCGGUCCUAUAAAUCUACAUUUCCAGAGUAGAUUACAUACUCCUUAAAAAUUAGUCCACUGGUAUAGUCAAACCAUUUAGCCUGCAUGAUUCUUAUCAAAUGGAAGGUGCAUGCUCGACUAUGUAUAGAACUGUAAGUUUAGCUAUCAGACUGACUAAUUACCAAGCGGUAAUUAUUUUUUCCUAAUCUUUUGUUUAAAUACCAUUAACUAGCUGCUCUUGAAAAAACCUGGAUUCCUAAUUAUCUUGACAGCUGUCAGUUGAACAAUCCCAGCCACAAUGGACCAGCCCUUCAGCUGGUGUAAAUCAAUGUGGCUCCCCUGACUUCAGUGGACAUAUGCCAAUUCUUCCCCCUGCUGAGGAUCCAGCCAAGUACACAUUUAGCUUGUUUACAGAAUCAGAGAAUCACGGAAAGGAACGUGAAGAUAACUGUUAAAAAUGGUGUUUAGACAUUUUUUUUUACUUUAAGCACUACAAGCUGUCAGUCAAUUAUGAGCUAUAAUUGAAAUGCUGACAUAUUCAAUGCACAGAUUUAAUUUUUCCCAAUUCUAAAAACCUGAACAUACUGAGGUAUCUCAAGCUGUGCUCAGUUGGAGCUCUGAGUAAACAUGAACCUUUUU